This 498-nucleotide ribosomal RNA is filed under the name uncultured bacterium. RNAcentral's name for it is "partial 16S ribosomal RNA". It matches the Rfam family "Bacterial small subunit ribosomal RNA", at positions 28 to 523 of the family's 1533-position model. The record is from RNAcentral.
GACGAACGCUGGCGGCGUGCCUAACACAUGCAAGUCGAGCGGAGAUGAUGUGAGGAAGUUUUCGGAUGGAAUCACAUUAUUUUAGCGGCGGACGGGUGAGUAACGCGUGAGCGACCAACCUUGCACAGGGGGAUAACGGACCGAAAGGUUCACUAAUACCGCAUGAGACCACGGUGUUGCAUGACACAGGGGUCAAAGGAGGAAUCCGGUGCAAGACGGGCUCGCGUCCGAUUAGGUAGUUGGAGGGGUAACGGCACACCAAGCCUAUGAUCGGUAGCCGACCUGGGAGGGUGAUCGGCCACAUUGGAACUGAGAUACGGUCCAAACUCCUACGGGAGGCAGCAGUGGGGAAUAUUGGGCAAUGGGGGAAACCCUGACCCAGCAACGCCGCGUGAAGGAAGAAGGUUUUCGGAUUGUAAACUUCUGUCCUUGGUGAAGAGAAGAAGACGGUAGCCAAGGAGGAAGCCCCGGCUAACUACGUGCCAGCAGCCGCGGUAA